GACGAACGCUGGCGGCGUGCUUAACACAUGCAAGUCGAACGGAAAGGCCCUGCUUUUGUGGGGUGCUCGAGGGGCGAAAGGGUGAGUAACACGUGAGUAACCUGCCCUUGACUUUGGGAUAACUUCAGGAAACUGGGGCUACUACCGGAUAGGAGCUCCUGCUGCAUGGUGGGGGUGGGAAAGUUUCGGCGGUUGGGGAUGGACGCGCGGCUGAUCAGCUAGUUGGUGGGGUAGUGGUUUACCAAGGCUGUGACGGGUAGCCGGCCUGAGAGGGUGAACGGCGACAUUACGACUGAGGGACGGCGCAGUGUCGUAUGGUAGACAGUAGGCGCAAGUCUUGCCCAAUGGGACGAAGUCGGUUACAGAGGCGUUGGGGUCGUGAUGACGGCCUGUUGGUAAAAAAACGCUGCCGCCUGUGACGAAGCUGGUGUGACGGUACUGGGUAAAGAAGCACCGGCUAACUACGUG
Molecule: ribosomal RNA, 468 nt
Filed under: uncultured bacterium
Lineage: Bacteria
Description: partial 16S ribosomal RNA
Rfam family: Bacterial small subunit ribosomal RNA
Source: RNAcentral